RNAcentral lists this ribosomal RNA (279 nucleotides) under uncultured bacterium. RNAcentral describes it as "partial 16S ribosomal RNA". It matches the Rfam family "Bacterial small subunit ribosomal RNA", at positions 506 to 784 of the family's 1533-position model. The record is from RNAcentral.
UGCCAGCAGCCGCGGUAAUACAGAGACCUCGAGCGUUGACCGGAUUUAUUGGGCGUAAAGCGUGCGCAGGCUGUUUUGUAAGUCAUCUGUUAAAUCUUCAGGCUCAACCUGGAGGCAGCGGGUGAUACUGCAAGACUAGAGUAUGGGAGAGGUUGGCGGAAUGCCAGGUGUAGGGGUCAAAUCCGUUAAGAUCUGGUAGAACACCAAAAGCGGAAGCAGCCAACUGGAACAUCACUGACGCUGAUGCACGAAAGCGUGGGUAGCGAAUGGGAUUAGAUA